GGUGGGCUGUAGGGACUCGUUGCCCCCCCAGGUGCUGCGGUGCGGGUGGUGGAUGUGGGGCGGCUGGCCGGCGGGGGGCGGCACCCCAAGCCGUGGGGCGUGGGCCGUGGGGGUCCCAGAGGUGGGCUGUAGGGACUCGUUGCCCCCCCAGGUGCUGCGGUGCGGGUGGUGGAUGUGGGGCGGCUGGCCGGCGGGGUGCUGCACACCAAGCUGUGGGUCGUGGACGGCGCCCACCUCUACAUCGGCAGUGCCAACAUGGACUGGCGCUCCCUCACCCAGGUGAAGGAGCUGGGUGUCGCCAUCUACAACUGCAGCUGCGCGGCGCAGGACGUGGCCAAAGUGUUCGAGGCCUACUGGGCCCUGGGCGCCCCCAACGCCUCCAUCCCCAGCCCCUGGCCCUCCAACUUCUCCACCCCCUUCAACAUGGAGACCCCAAUGCAGCUGCGGCUCAACGGGGUCCCGUCCGCCCUCUACUUCUCGGUUCUGGCCGGAGAUCGACGACCGGCUGCGCCGGGCCGUGUUUGAGCGCAGGGUGGAGGUGAAGCUGCUGGUCGGCUGCUGGGCGCACUCCAAGGCCGCCAUGUUCCCCUUCCUCAAGUCCUUGGCGGCCAUGGCGGACAACAGGACGGGAUACAGAGCCCAGGUGGUGAGUGCUGCCAAAUAGUGAGCGUGGGCACUGCCAAAUGGUGAGCAUGGGCAGUGCCAAAUAGUGAGUACAGGGAGCGCCAAAUGGGGGUCAUGGGUGCUGCCAAAUGGCGAGCAUUGAGAGUGCCAAAUAGUGAGCACAGGGAGCGCCAAAUGGGGGUCAUGGGUGCUGCCAAAUA
Molecule: long non-coding RNA, 824 nt
Filed under: Chrysolophus pictus (golden pheasant)
Lineage: Eukaryota; Metazoa; Chordata; Aves; Galliformes; Phasianidae
Description: lncRNA (ENSCPIG00010001370.1)
Source: RNAcentral